This is a long non-coding RNA of Schistocerca gregaria, 582 nucleotides long. RefSeq lists it as uncharacterized. Lineage: Eukaryota; Metazoa; Arthropoda; Insecta; Orthoptera; Acrididae. The record is from RefSeq and is a predicted model, not a curated record. The transcript is spliced from 3 exons.
CCCGCCGACACUGCGCGAGGCACUAAGGGCACAUUCGUACCUACACCUACACUCUGCGAGUCACUUCACCGUGUGUGGCGGAGGAUGCCGAUAAUGAAAUCAUAGAAGUAUGGAGCCAAGGAAGACGAGCCAACGGCAGUGCGAAGUCAUCCUGCUGGAUUCCGGAGCAUGUGACAAUAGCGAGACGGCGAACUCACUUGCGACAGACGGCUUUAAUCGGUCGGCCAGCGCGCCAGCUGGACGCCGCACAAGUAUCGACGCCGGCUCUGAGUCAGGAGUUUGGUAGCUGCGGCUGGAUCCCAAUACCCAUUUAGAAAGCGGCAGCCCGUGCUACGCAGCAGCGGCGGCAGACGCACACUUCCCCGAAAAAUCUGAGAUUCUCUCUCUACUUCUUGUUGGUGCUCCUGCCUACCAAUAGCGGCUACCUGCUGCCAUCAUCAAGAUUUGGAUUCAAAUUGCUACCGAUCACAGUGAAUGCUGGAGAUCGCUUCAAAUUCAACACGCCUCGGGAGAACUGCUGCAGUGUCGCCGUUCUUAAAUAUUUUCCGUCAAAAAUUUGUUGUAAUAUACAUAAAUAUAUGC